Molecule: long non-coding RNA, 1527 nt
Filed under: Gallus gallus (chicken)
Lineage: Eukaryota; Metazoa; Chordata; Aves; Galliformes; Phasianidae
Description: lncRNA (ENSGALG00010007768.1)
Source: RNAcentral
UGCCCUGUGGGGCUGCAGCAGUGGACACCGUGGAGCUCGGGGUAGGACGUAGUUUGUGUCUGCAAGGCUGUAUGGGGGCUGUGGGAUCCAUCCCAUGGGGCUGUAGGGGGAUGCCCUGAGGGGCUGCAGUGGGUUGUAGGGUCAAGGGGAUGCUCCAUGAGCUGCGUGGGGGAGGGGCUGUAGCAAAACCCCAGCAUGAUGUGACCUCGUCCAGCUCCUGCGCUGAUCCCUGUUUUCUCUCUCCCGUCCCACUGGGGAGCAAUGAACGGCUGCGUGGUGCUGAGCUGCCUGCCGGGUUAAACCACAACAGCAGAAAAAUGAUGUUGACAACUUACACAAAAUACCUUGAGCACCUGCAAGCCCAUCAAGGACAUCACUCUACGGCACAUCCAGCAAACACCUGCCUGGAGAUCUCUGCUCUGAGCUGAGAUAAAUACAUUCUUCAGCUCCCUCAACAGAGCAGCUAUUCACUUGGACGAUCUGCAUGAUUUGUCCAGCUGCCAGAUUUUGAGCCUUGGUCUUCAUCCAGGAGAAACAGAUACCAAGUUGGGCGGCUUUUGCCUCCAGGCAUCCAAGCGUGUGUUCCAGGUGUAGUGCUGACUAACCAUCAGGAGCCACAGCGUCCGCAGAGCAGAGGUCAGUGAAGGUCACUCAGAGAUCCUGAGCAAUGCAUCAGAGUUCUUGAGCCCGGGCACUGAAGGCCCAGCACCACGGCGUGGGGAUGCCAGCUUUCCAAGCAGAUCCAUUGCUCCGUCACCCCUGGUAGCCCUGCGAUCAUGUGAAGGUCAACUCUUGGUGAGAUCCCCAGGCAAUGGAAUCACGCUGGGGGAAGGACUUUACUCCUGUUCUGUCUUUGCAGCUAUAGCGGGACAAGGUUCAGCGUCCAGACUGCUAACAAAACAAAAUCGUUCUGGGCAGUCUUUGCAAGUCAGCGGCGGCUGAGUUUUGGCAAAGAGUGCAGGGGCAAAGCCUGGCACAGCACCAGGCGGUGACGCAGUUGGUCAGCAUCCUCUGCAGCCUGAUGGUUGACCUUUUCUUUUGCGCAAUAAGAAAGCAAUGUCCUUCCUCCAUCCCAGAGGGACUUGGCCAGACCCUCGGCACAGGAGCAACAUUCAUCUGCCCCAGCUUUAGGUGUCAACAGCAAACAUCUACAGUCCUCCUCAUCAACAUCAGCUUUCUUUAGUGACCCUCUUGUGGAGAAAUGCAGUUGCAUCUAAAGAUUGGUCUGUUGCUUUUGAUACCAACUUUAGUGUGAAGGCAAGCUCAUCCCUGGAGGUGUUUUAGGCCAAGUUGGAUCAGGCCCUGGACAAUUUCAUCUAGUGCCUGACUGAGUGGUUGGCAAUCCUGUCCCCAGCAAGGGGGUUGGAGCUCGAUGGUCUUUGAGGUCCCUUCCAACCUAAGCCAUUCUAUGAUUCUGUGAUUCAAAUCAAGCUCAAAUAUUGUGUCUGACAUUUAUAAUGCUAUGAUCUAUGUUCCUUGUGAAUUAUAAAGGUACUUCCUUGAGACAUUCCAUAGCCCACUCUGUGA